This 37-nucleotide transfer RNA is filed under the name Pseudoparaphysanthus sp. TY-35006b. RNAcentral's name for it is "partial tRNA-Phe". Lineage: Eukaryota; Viridiplantae; Streptophyta; Bryopsida; Hypnales; Neckeraceae. The record is from RNAcentral.
GCCGGAAUAGCUCAGUUGGUUAGAGAGAGGACUGAAC